RNAcentral lists this ribosomal RNA (251 nucleotides) under Steinernema feltiae. RNAcentral describes it as "partial small subunit ribosomal RNA". Lineage: Eukaryota; Metazoa; Nematoda; Chromadorea; Rhabditida; Steinernematidae. The record is from RNAcentral.
CUAUGCGCAAUUCCUCGACAAACGAUACGUGUUGUGUCAAGUGAUGUAUUGUAAGGGCCUCUGAAAAAUUCUGAAAAAUAUACGAACUGUUAAGUUUGUACCAAUCAGUCGGCAAGAAAAACGCCGAAACACCAAAAAUACAUUGCACAGAAAUUAAAAAUAGCUCGUUUCGAUUAGGAAACGAAUUAGACAAUCAAAUUCACAUUCCAAAAAGGUACUCGAUAAAAAAACCAAAUAACUAAUCCAAAAAA